RNAcentral lists this ribosomal RNA (763 nucleotides) under uncultured Bacteroidota bacterium. Its description in RNAcentral is "bacterial SSU rRNA". It matches the Rfam family "Bacterial small subunit ribosomal RNA", at positions 220 to 984 of the family's 1533-position model. Lineage: Bacteria; Pseudomonadati; Bacteroidota. The record is from RNAcentral.
UAUGGAUGGGCAUGCGUAUCAUUAGCUAGUUGGCGAGGUAAUGGCUCACCAAGGCGACGAUGAUUAAGGGUUCUGAGAGGAUAUCCCCCCACACUGGAACUGAAACACGGACCAAACUCCUACGGGAGACAGCAGUAGGGAAUAUUGGGCAAUGGAAGCAAUUCUGACCCAGCCAUGCCGCGUGAAGGAAUACAGCCCUAUGGGUUUAAACUUCUUUUAUUAUAGAGUAACCGGAGGUACGUGUACCUCCCUGCAAGUAUAUGAUGAAUAAGGAUCGGCUAACUCCGUGCCAGCAGCCGCGGUAAUACGGAGGAUCCAAGCGUUAUCCGGAUUUAUUGGGUUUAAAGGGUGCGCAGGCGGAUCAAUAAGUCAGGGGUGAAAAAUUUCAGCUUAACUGGAAUCGUGCCUUUGAUACUGUUGGACUAGAGUAUAAUUGACGUGACUGGAAUGUGAUGUGUAGCGGUGAAAUGCUUAGAUAUGUCACAGAACGCCAAUCGUGAAGACAGGUCACGAAAUUAUUACUGACGCUCAUGCACGAAAGCGUGGGGAUCAAACAGGAUUAGAUACCCUGGUAGUCCACGCUGUAAACGAUGAUUACUCGUUGUUGGGCAGUGAUGCUCAGUGGCUAAGCGAAAGCGAUAAGUAAUCCACCUGGGGAGUACGAUCGCAAGGUUGAAACUCAAAGGAAUUGACGGGGGCCCGCACAAGCGGAGGAGCAUGUGGUUUAAUUCGAUGAUACGCGAGGAACCUUACCCGGGCUUGA